UACGGGGGGGGUAAGCGUUGUUCGGAAUUACUGGGCGUAAAGGGCUCGUAGGCGGCCAACUAAGUCAGACGUGAAAUCCCUCAGCUUAACUGGGGAACUGCGUCUGAUACUGGUUGGCUUGAGUGCAGGAGAGGAAAGCGGAAUUCCAGGUGUAGCGGUGAAAUGCGUAGAUAUCUGGAGGAACACCGGUGGCGAAGGCGGCGUUCUGGACUGUAACUGACACUGAUGAACGAAAGCCAGGGGAGCAAACGGG
RNAcentral lists this ribosomal RNA (253 nucleotides) under uncultured bacterium. RNAcentral's name for it is "partial 16S ribosomal RNA". It matches the Rfam family "Bacterial small subunit ribosomal RNA", at positions 524 to 776 of the family's 1533-position model. The record is from RNAcentral.